Notolabrus celidotus (New Zealand spotty) is the source of this 2021-nucleotide long non-coding RNA. RefSeq lists it as uncharacterized. The transcript is spliced from 2 exons. The record is from RefSeq and is a predicted model, not a curated record. NCBI's taxonomy places the organism in Eukaryota, Metazoa, Chordata, Actinopteri, Labriformes, Labridae.
AGCACAGAUCAGCGCUCUCAUGGGGACAUGCGGCCAGCAAGACGCAGCCACGGGCUCCUGUCAGACUUCAAGCAGCAGAUGGACCCUCCAGAGAAGACGAUAACAGUCCUCCUCUAUCCAUCUGUGGCAGUCAGGAUGGACGCGGCGUCAGUCAAGCUGGGACGGCCAUGUCGAUUUCAGCGUUGGAGCAGAAGGACUGAAUAGAAACAACAGUUUAGCUAAAUUGCCACAUGCACCUCCACCUUUAAAUGCUCUUUUUAUUGACUUACUGUUAGAAUAUGUACAGCUCAAGACCUCUCAAGAUACCUCCAAGUCCUCCGAUGUGUCUCUGCUGGGAACAAAAAGAUAGAACACUUAUUCCUCAAAUGUAAAGGCUAAAAACUUCUGCAAGGAGCUUUUAUGUGCAGAAUUUAACAUUAACGUGCUAACAUUCUCCCUGUGAAAGUGCUAAAGCUAGUGUUUAGCAUCACAGUUAAACAUACAUUUACCAAUUAACACAAAUAAGACACUAUAGCUACGCUUAAUAUAAAUAUUAUUUUAAAUACAGCUCUGAACAAACAACAAUUAACUUAAUGUUACAUGAAAACACAAACAGCAUAGCUAAAAUGUACUUUUCUGCUAGCAGUGUGCUUUUAGCAUGUUAGCAGCAGAUGCUACACAGUAACUCUACAACAAAAUACAUAUAAAGUGUUUAAAAUCUAUCAUUUUCACCACUUUUAAAACGUUUAAUAUUGUAAAAAAGUGAAAACAUUACCAACUGUUCACCUCAGUUUGGUGUGAUAGCAUGCUCACAAUAUAGCUGAAGCUAGCACAGCUAAUGCUAACCCUUUAUAGCUCCUUUUUUAAAAUGUAUUUAACAUGUUAGCAGUGUGAAUGAAGCCAAAUAAGCCUAGCUAACUUGAAUAACACUCAAAUUGUUUGAAACUUUAGCAUCUUUAUCAUGUUUUUUCCAAGGUGUUUGGCUUAAAAUUACCAUAAAGUUAAGUAAUGUUUGUUGAAAGUGGCUAUUCUUUUAGUUUGUAGGCAGCUUAACCUUUCUUUUUUGGGUUUAAAAGGUUCAAAUAAGAGAAUAAAAAAAGAGGACAAAUCUGGUGUUUAUCUUUUGGGUGUGAGAAAAGGGGUUUUAAUAUGUUUACAAGCAGAGCUAGCAAACAGCUUAUGAUGUUGCAGAUUUGUUUGAGAACAUUUAAGGUGCAAGUGGAAAAACAACCUGUUCUGUAUUUUCAAACAUUGUCUCCUCCGUUUACCUUUAAAGCGUUUCAUGUUGAAGUUAUAUCACAGUAUUUACUUCCUCACCUGUGUCAUUACUAGUGUGUUAUUUCCCCUCUUCGUGACGUCGUUUCCUCGUCCUCGUCCUCUCUUCUCGCUGAAUCGCGGCAGUUGGUGGCGGCCAUUUUGGCUCAAAACGGAGCAGAGGGAGGUCUGCAGUUGCUCAGUAGUCAGUGUAGAUCCUGUGGGGCUGGCAGCAGCUACAUCUGGCUACUGGGUCUCUGCUGGCGGCCAUGUUUUUCAGUACACAGAAGGGUAUAAAACUGACUUUAUGGCUACAUAAGCACAAAUUAAAUUACUUAAUGUACAUAUUAUACUUUUUUAACAUUAAAGUGAAGUUAUUGUUGAUGUUACAUGUGACAGAAAUGUCUCAAAUGCACAUAAACACUGUAAAUAAAAGCCUUCAGGACAGUUAUGCUAGGACUACAUGGGUAGUUUGGGUGACAGUAGGACUUUUUAGAUCUUGAAGAAAGACCUGGGUAAGUCCUGGACCUGGCAUACAGUGUAGGAUUCUGUGUGUGUCAGUCUACAGCUACAUUGUCUGCUGGGUUUCAGGCCUCUACUCAUACACACAUUUAUAUAAUUAAAGCAUUUCUGUGUCAUUUCAGGUGCUUACUGUGAAUUACUGUAAAAUGAAUAUAUGGAAGUGUUGUGGUGUGUUCAAAGAACCAGAAAGCAUGUUAAUUUGACAACUUUGUGUUUAUUGACUCAUCAUAAAACAUUCUUCAAACAAUAAAACAAUUUUAAAUGUC